This 380-nucleotide unclassified non-coding RNA is filed under the name uncultured bacterium. Its description in RNAcentral is "contains 16S-23S intergenic spacer region". The record is from RNAcentral.
UCACGUCUUACGACGGCAGUUUCACUAGAGUUCCCAGCGUUACCUGAUGGCAACUAGUGAUGGGGGUUGCGCUCGUUGCGGGACUUAACCCAACACCUCACGGCACGAGCUGACGACAGCCGUGCAGCACCUGUGCAGGCUCCCUUGCGGGUCCCUUGCCUCUCGGCUCAGUACCACCUGCAUGUCAAGCCCGGGUAAGGUUCUUCGCGUUGCAUCGAAUUAAACCACAUGCUCCGCUGCUUGUGCGGGUCCCCGUCAAUUCCUUUGAGUUUUAGCCUUGCGGCCGUACUCCCCAGGCGGGGUACUUCCUGCGUUAGCGCCGGCACCCAAGGGGUCGCUCCCCCAGGCACCUAGUACCCAUCGUUUACGGCGUGGACUAC